CCUACGGGAGGCAGCAGUGGGGAAUAUUGGACAAUGGGCGCAAGCCUGAUCCAGCAAUGCCGCGUGAGUGAUGAAGGCCUUAGGGUCGUAAAGCUCUUUUACCAGGGAUGAUAAUGACAGUACCUGGAGAAUAAGCUCCGGCUAACUCCGUGCCAGCAGCCGCGGUAAUACGGAGGGAGCUAGCGUUGUUCGGAAUUACUGGGCGUAAAGCGUACGUAGGCGGUUAUUCAAGUCAGAGGUGAAAGCCCGGGGCUCAACCCCGGAACGGCCUUUGAAACUAGGUAGCUAGAAUCUUGGAGAGGUCAGUGGAAUUCCGAGUGUAGAGGUGAAAUUCGUAGAUAUUCGGAAGAACACCAGUGGCGAAGGCGACUGACUGGACAAGUAUUGACGCUGAGGUACGAAAGCGUGGGGAGCAAACAGGAUUAGAUACCCUGGUAGUCCACGCCGUAAACGAUGAUAACUAGCUGUUCGGGCACUUGGUGCUUGAGUGGCGCAGCUAACGCAUUAAGUUAUCCGCCUGGGGAGUACGGUCGCAAGAUUAAAACUCAAAGAGUAUAGACGNGNGAGAGCGACCGAGCACACGGAGGUAGAG
RNAcentral lists this ribosomal RNA (592 nucleotides) under uncultured bacterium. RNAcentral describes it as "bacterial SSU rRNA". It matches the Rfam family "Bacterial small subunit ribosomal RNA", at positions 338 to 952 of the family's 1533-position model. The record is from RNAcentral.